This 1234-nucleotide ribosomal RNA is filed under the name metagenome. Its description in RNAcentral is "bacterial LSU rRNA". It matches the Rfam family "Bacterial large subunit ribosomal RNA", at positions 1564 to 2808 of the family's 2925-position model. The record is from RNAcentral.
UGAAUACGUGACGCUAAGGCGUCGAAGUAGUGUAUGUCAUACUUCCAAGAAAAGCUUGCACUGUCAUAAGUAAAAAAUGCCUGUACCAUAACCGACACAGGUGGGUAGGUAGAGUAUACUAAGGGGCGCGAGAUAACUCUCUCUAAGGAACUCGGCAAAAUAACUCCGUAACUUCGGGAGAAGGAGUACCUUAUUCUAUAAGGUUGCAAUAACAAGAUCCAAGCAACUGUUUAUCAAAAACACAGGUCUCCGCUAAGUCGUAAGACGAUGUAUGGGGGCUGACGCCUGCCCAGUGCCAGAAGGUUAAGGAAGUCGGUUAGCAUUAGCGAAGCUGGUAACUGAAGCCCUGGUGAACGGCGGCCGUAACUAUAACGGUCCUAAGGUAGCGAAAUUCCUUCGGGUAAGUUCCGACCCGCACGAAAGGCGUAAUGAUUUGGAUACUGUCUCGGAGAGGGGCUCGGUGAAAUAGACUUGUCUGUGAAGAUGCGGACUACCUGCACCAGGACAGAAAGACCCUAUGAAGCUUUACUGUAACUUGAAAUUGAAAUUGGACUUUAUUCGCGCAGUAUAGGUGGGAGGUGUUGAUUAUAAUCUUGCGGGAUUAUUGGAGCCAUCAGUGAGAUACCACUCUUGUAGUGUUAGAUUUCUAACUUUGAAUCAUUAUCUGGUCAAAGGACAGUUUCAGGCGGGCAGUUUGACUGGGGCGGUCGCCUCCCAAACGGUAACGGAGGCGUACAAAGGUUUCCUCUGAACGGGUAGAAAUCGUAUCUAGAGUGUAAAGGCAUAAGGAAGCUUGACUGUGAGACCUACAAGUCGAACAGGGACGAAAGUCGGUCUUAGUGAUCUGACGGUACUGAGUGGAAAGGCCGUCACUCAACGGAUAAAAGUUACUCUAAGGAUAACAGGCUGAUCUCCCCCAAGGGUUCACAUCGACGGGGAGGUUUGGCACCUCGAUGUCGGCUCAUCGCAUCCUGGGGCGGUAGUACGUCCCAAGGGUAGGGCUGUUCGCCCAUGAAAGCGGUACGCGAGCUGGGUUCAGAACGUCGUGAGACAGUUCGGUCCAUAUCCGGUGUAGGCGUUAGAAUAUUGAGAGGAGCCUUCUUUAGUACGAGAGGACCGAGAAGGACAUACCUCUGGUGUACCAGUUAUCGUGCCAACGGUAAACGCUGGGUAGCUAUGUAUGGAGUGGAUAACCGCUGAAAGCAUCUAAGUGGGAAGCCCACCUCAAGAUAAG